GCUGCGGCCUAUCAGCUAGUUGGUAGGGUAAUGGCCUACCAAGGCUACGACGGGUAGGGGGCGUGAGAGCGUGUGCCCCCAGAGUGGUACUGAGACACGGACCACACACUACGGGUGGCAGCAACUGGGAAUCGUGCGCAAUGGACGAAAGUCUGACGCCGCGACGCCGCGUGAAGGAUGAAGGCCCAUGGGUUGUAAACUUCUUUUGUUUGAGCCGAGAGGCUCUUUCGAAUAAGCACCGGCUAACUACGUGCCAGCAGCAGCGGUAAUACGUAGGGUGCAAGCGUUGUUCGGAUUUAUUGGGCGUAAAGUGCCUCGUAGGCGUCCCGAUAAGUCGCGUUUUAAAGCCCCCGGCUUAACCGGGGAAAAGGACGCGAUACUAUCGGGAUUGAAUGGUGUAGGAGCUACUGGAACUGUUAAUGUAGGGGUGAAAUCCGUUGAUAUUGACAGGAACACCAAGGGCGAAGGCAGGUAGCUAUGCAUACAUUGACGCUGAGGAGCGAAAGCUAGGGUAUCGAAAGGGAUUAGAGACCCCUGUAGUCCUAGCCGUAAACGAUGCUCGCUAGGGAUGUGAAUUUAUUUACGUCCCGUAAGCUAACGCGUUAAGCGAGCUGCCUGGGGAGUACGAUCGCAAGAUUAAAACUCAAAGGAAUUGACGGGGACCCGCACAACCAGUGGAGCAUGUGGUUUAAUUCGAGACGAACCGAAGAACCUUACCUGGACUUGACAUCCAGCCCUUUAGGUUUGUAGAAAUACAAAUUGAUCCGCCAUUUGGCGGAAGGCUGGACAGGUGUUGCAUGGCCGUCGUCAGCUCGUGCCGUAGGGUGUUCCCUUCAGUGGGGUAACGAGCGCAACCCCUGCCGUAUGUUGAAUUAUUCAUACGGGACUAUCGC
RNAcentral lists this ribosomal RNA (893 nucleotides) under uncultured archaeon. Its description in RNAcentral is "bacterial SSU rRNA". It matches the Rfam family "Bacterial small subunit ribosomal RNA", at positions 230 to 1155 of the family's 1533-position model. The record is from RNAcentral.